GGUUCGGGUAAAUAGUUCCAA
RNAcentral lists this unclassified non-coding RNA (21 nucleotides) under Mus musculus (house mouse). RNAcentral describes it as "oocyte_clustered_small_RNA6516". The record is from RNAcentral. Lineage: Eukaryota; Metazoa; Chordata; Mammalia; Rodentia; Muridae.